CAAUUGAUUUUAAUUGAUCUGUUGAGAGAUUCCUGGUCAAUUCCAACGCCCCCCUGACAGUCUAUUGAACACAAUGAAAAAGAGCCAAGAGGGAUAAGGCUUUAAACAGCUGUUUCCAAAAUGGAGUGAUCCCACAGCCAAUCACACUCCGUCUGUUUCUUACCAAUAACAGCACUUCGCUUUGUUCACGCGGAGCUGCUUGCGUGAUAAAAUCGUGCGCUGAACAAUAACAAUGUACUGUUCUUGAACAUCUUGAAAUGUUUGUUUUAAGGGAGAUUUAUGAAAAGGAAGCAAGUUUCCAGACUGGAGUAUGUAGAUGCAGGAAGACAGGAAGUGUGCUAGUAGAUGAAAGUUUCUGUCAGAUGGUGUAUGUCUCCAUCUUCUGGUGAACUGCACACUACACAACACUUCUUCAGCCAGCCACAAACAGAAUCUUUUACAUUUAAAAAAUUAUACUCUUUAUUGACUGUUUUCACAAACAGAAAUAAUACAGUAUUUAAAUAAUAAGAUAUGGCUACAAUACUGACACAUUCUGACAUAAACAGAAGGCUUGAAAAUAAGGCACAAAUGUGCUCAGUAAGACAAAAAUGUAAUUACAUCCCUUAAUACUUGAAAAAAAAAAGUUAUCUAUACAAGAUGUAUACAACAUUAAA
Long non-coding RNA from Cyprinus carpio (common carp), 653 nucleotides. RefSeq lists it as uncharacterized. The record is from RefSeq and is a predicted model, not a curated record. Lineage: Eukaryota; Metazoa; Chordata; Actinopteri; Cypriniformes; Cyprinidae. The transcript is spliced from 2 exons.